Molecule: ribosomal RNA, 468 nt
Filed under: uncultured bacterium
Lineage: Bacteria
Description: partial 16S ribosomal RNA
Rfam family: Bacterial small subunit ribosomal RNA
Source: RNAcentral
GACGAACGCUGGCGGCGUGCUUAACACAUGCAAGUCGAACGGAAAGGCCCUGCUUUUGUGGGGUGCUCGAGUGGCGAACGGGUGAGUAACACGUGAGUAACCUGCCCUUGACUUUGGGAUAACUUCAGGAAACUGGGGCUAAUACCGGAUAGGAGCUCCUGCUGCAUGGUGGGGGUUGGAAAGUUUCGGCGGUUGGGGAUGGACUCGCGGCUUAUCAGCUUGUUGGUGGGGUAGUGGCUUACCAAGACUUUGACGGGUAGCCGGCCUGAGAGGGUGACCGGCCACAUUGGGACUGCGAGACGGCCCAGACUCCUACGGGAGGCAGCAGUGGGGAAUAUUGCACAAUGGGCGGAAGCCUGAUGCAGCAACGCCGCGUGCGGGAUGACGGCCUUCGGGUUGUAAACCGCUUUCGCCUGUGACGAAGCGUGAGUGACGGUAAUGGGUAAAGAAGCACCGGCUAACUACGUG